RNAcentral lists this unclassified non-coding RNA (256 nucleotides) under fungal sp. Its description in RNAcentral is "partial internal transcribed spacer region". The stretch from base 1 to 46 matches the Rfam family "Eukaryotic small subunit ribosomal RNA", at positions 1786 to 1831 of the family's 1831-position model. The record is from RNAcentral. Lineage: Eukaryota; Fungi.
AAGUCGUAACAAGGUAACCGUAGGUGAACCUGCGGUUGGAUCAUUAUUGAAAUUUUAAUAAUCUUCUAGCAGUUUACUGUUAGAUUAUUAAACCACACCUUGUGAAUUUAUACUAGUCUUUGGAGUUACUUGAUAGGAUUUUUUCCUAUAGAUGAGAACUCCUAUUUAUUAAAACAUUUAUUAUUUUCUAAUUGAGCCUUAAAAGAUUUCUAAAAAAUCAUAAGAAAAACUUUUGACAAUGGAUCUCUUGGCUCUC